This is a non-coding RNA of Pangasianodon gigas (Mekong giant catfish), 73 nucleotides long. The record is from the annotation of a GenBank genome assembly. NCBI's taxonomy places the organism in Eukaryota, Metazoa, Chordata, Actinopteri, Siluriformes, Pangasiidae.
GGCAUGGUGGCUUAGUGGCUAGUACUGUUACCUUAGACUGCCAGGGUUGGGGGUUUGAAUCCCACCUCUGCCG